This is an RNA transcript of Zea mays, 935 nucleotides long. RefSeq lists it as uncharacterized. Lineage: Eukaryota; Viridiplantae; Streptophyta; Magnoliopsida; Poales; Poaceae. The transcript has 4 exons. The record is from RefSeq and is marked validated.
UAUACAUAUCCAAAACAAGAUUACAUUUCUUAACUCUAACCUUCUUAAGUCCUACAAAUCCAUAUAUAUAUAUAUACAUUCAUACGUACAUGUUUCUCUUUCUUGACUCUAACCUUCUCAAGUGUUCUUGAUUUCACAUAGACUAAAAAAUAAAGGCAAAAAACAUGUAAAAAAAACAACACAACAUGCCAUCUUCAUCAUCCGGUCCACCUAGCAGUGAUGUAAGGCCGAUUCCAUAUCUUGAUGAAUGCGAUGCCCCAAGAAGAAAAAGAAGGCACAGCGCUUCUGCCAUCUAUACUCCUCCUAAUAUAACUGCCACUCAAGCAAGGGCAACAAGACGACAUCUUCUAAAUCAGAGUCGAAUUACUAGAAAAGGGUUGACAGCUAAAACAUUGACGAAUUUCCAUACUGGACAGUUCACAACCGAAUAUGUGGAAGCAUUAAAAGCCUCAUACCCAAAUAGGUCAUACUACGGAACACCAGAUUACGAAUGCUCUUAUUGUCAUGCUGUGUUCUGGUAUGCUGAAAGGGUCAGGAGUAAUCAACAGGAUUCAUCUAUCAGAUACAACAACUGCUGCAAAGGUGGAAAAAUCAGCAUUCCUCCCUUCAAGCCUCGGCCUAAGCCUUUAGCAUCUCUUGCAAGAUUUGAUGGUGAUGCCACAUCAAGAAAAUUCAUUCGCAAUAUUAGACAGUACAAUUGUCUGUUUGCUUUUACAUCAAUGGGAGCACAAAUAGAUAACUCUGUCAAUGAUGGUCGUGGUCCACCUCUCUUUAAAAUUUGCGGCCAAGUUCACCAUCGUAUUGGAACUUUGUUGCCAGACGAUGGAUGUCCUCCAAGAUUCAUUCAAUUGUAUAUUUACGACACCACAAACGAAGUCCAAAACAGAAUAAAUGCUUUAGACAGUGGUGACAGAACCCAAGACAAUUUCGAUUCU